UAAUACGGAGGGUGCUAGCGUUGUUCGGAAUCACUGGGCGUAAAGAGCGCGUAGGCGGAAGGCUAAGUUAGACGUGAAAGCCCCGGGCUUAACCUGGGAUGUGCGUUUAAGACUGGCUUUCUUGAGGGAAGAAGGGGAGAGUGGAAUUCCUAGUGUAGAGGUGAAAUUCGUAGAUAUUAGGAGGAACACCAGUGGCGAAGGCGACUCUCUGGUCUUCACCUGACGCUGAGGCGCGAAAGCGUGGGGAGCAAACAGGAUUAGAUACCCUGGUAGUCCACGCCCUAAACGAUGAGUGCUAGAUGUUGGGAUUUAUAUCUCAGUGUCGCAGCUAACGCAUUAAGCACUCCGCCUGGGAAGUACGGCCGCAAGGUUAAAACUCAAAGGAAUUGACGG
This 393-nucleotide ribosomal RNA is filed under the name uncultured bacterium. Its description in RNAcentral is "bacterial SSU rRNA". It matches the Rfam family "Bacterial small subunit ribosomal RNA", at positions 521 to 916 of the family's 1533-position model. The record is from RNAcentral.